CAGCCGUGCGUUGGGGCACAUAGCGAACUAUUCUUUCGCCUUUUACUAAAGUAUAUCGUGUGCUCGUCGUUUAAAAGUGGCAUACACCAUUUUUUGGAGUGGUUUCCCUCUACGGGAAAC
Salvia splendens (bonfire salvia) is the source of this 120-nucleotide small nuclear RNA. RefSeq annotates it as U5 spliceosomal RNA. NCBI's taxonomy places the organism in Eukaryota, Viridiplantae, Streptophyta, Magnoliopsida, Lamiales, Lamiaceae. The transcript has a single exon. The record is from RefSeq and is a predicted model, not a curated record.